GAUGAAGAACGCAGCGAAAUGCGAUACUUGGUGUGAAUUGCAGAAUCCCGUGAACCAUCGAGUCUUUGAACGCAAGUUGCGCCUCAAGCCAUUAGGUUGAGGGCACGUCUGCCUGGGCGUCACAUAUCGUUGCCUGAUGCCAGUUUCCUCGUGAUGGGUGACUGUGCAGGGCGAAUGAUGGCUUCCCGUGAGCAUUGUUGCCUCAUGAUUGGUUGAAAAUUGAGUCCUUGGUAGGGAGCGCCGUGAUAGAUGGUGGUUGAGUGACGAACGAGACCCAAUCAUGUGAGACCCCUACCGAAUUUGGCCUUCAUGACCCACAUGCGUCUUUGGAACGCUCAUGACGAGACCUCAGGUCAGGCGGGGCUACCCGCUGAGUUUAAGCAUAUCAAUAAGCGGAGGA
RNAcentral lists this unclassified non-coding RNA (400 nucleotides) under soil metagenome. Its description in RNAcentral is "partial contains 5.8S ribosomal RNA, internal transcribed spacer 2, and large subunit ribosomal RNA". The stretch from base 1 to 122 matches the Rfam family "5.8S ribosomal RNA", at positions 35 to 154 of the family's 154-position model. The record is from RNAcentral.